GACGAACGCUGGCGGCGUGCUUAACACAUGCAAGUCGAACGGAAAGGCCCUGCUUUUGUGGGGUGCUCGAGUGGCGAACGGGUGAGUAACACGUGAGUAACCUGCCCUUGACUUUGGGAUAACUUCAGGUAACUGGGGCUACUACCGGAUAGGAGCUCCUGCUGCAUGGUGGGGGUUGGAACGUUUCGGCGGUUGGGGAUGGACUCGCGGCUUAUCAGCUUGCUGGUGGGGUAGUGGCUUACCAAGGCUUUGACGGGUAGCCGGCCUGAGAGGGUGACCGGCAACAUUAGGACUGAGAUAGGGCCCAGACUCCUACGGGAGGCAGCAGGGGGGAAUAUUGCACAAUGAGCGGAAGCCUGAUGCAGCAACGACGCGUGCGGGAUGACGGCCUUCGGGUAGUAAAACGCUUUCGCCUGUGACGAAGCGGGAGUGACGGUAAUGGAUAAAGAAGCACCGGCUAACUACGUG
This 468-nucleotide ribosomal RNA is filed under the name uncultured bacterium. RNAcentral describes it as "partial 16S ribosomal RNA". It matches the Rfam family "Bacterial small subunit ribosomal RNA", at positions 28 to 507 of the family's 1533-position model. The record is from RNAcentral.